This 406-nucleotide ribosomal RNA is filed under the name uncultured bacterium. Its description in RNAcentral is "partial 16S ribosomal RNA". It matches the Rfam family "Bacterial small subunit ribosomal RNA", at positions 29 to 526 of the family's 1533-position model. The record is from RNAcentral.
AUUGAACGCUGGCGGCAGGCUUAACACAUGCAAGUCGAGCGUGAGGCGGACGGGUGAGUAAUGUCCGGGAAACUGCCUGCUGGAGGGGGAUAACUACUGGAAAAGGUAGCUAAUAACGCAUAUCAUCAGAUGUGCCCACAGGGGGUUAGCUAGUAGGUGGGGUAACGGCUCACCUGGGCGACGAUCCCUAGCUGGUCUGAGAGGAUGACCAGCAACACUGGAACGGAGACACGGUCCAGAGUCCGACGGGAGGCAGAGUGGGGGAAUAUUGCACAAUGGGGGCAAGCCUGAUGAAGACAGGCCGGGUGUGUGAAGAAGGCCUUCGGGUUGUAAAGCACGUUCAGCGGGAAGGCGUUACCCGCAGAAGAAGCACCGGCUAACUCCGUGCCAGCCGCCGCGGUAAUUC